This 239-nucleotide ribosomal RNA is filed under the name uncultured fungus. RNAcentral describes it as "partial 18S ribosomal RNA". The stretch from base 74 to 239 matches the Rfam family "Eukaryotic small subunit ribosomal RNA", at positions 738 to 905 of the family's 1831-position model. Lineage: Eukaryota; Fungi. The record is from RNAcentral.
CGCCUCACCGCGUGCACUGGUCCGGCCGGGCCUUUCCUCCUGGGGAGCCGCAUGCCCUUCACUGGGUGUGUCGGGGAACCAGGACUUUUACUUUGAAAAAAUUAGAGUGUUCAAAGCAGGCCUAUGCUCGAAUACAUUAGCAUGGAAUAAUAGAAUAGGACGUGAGGUUCUAUUUUGUUGGUUUCUAGGACCGCCGUAAUGAUUAAUAGGGAUAGUCGGGGGCAUCAGUAUUCAAUUGU